CGCUCGCUCGCUCUCGCUCUCGCUCUCGCUCUCGCUCUCUGCUUCUCCCUCUCUCUCUGCUUCUCCCUCUCCCUCUCCCUCUCUCUCUCUCUCUGUCUCUGACGCCUCUCGCGCGCUCUCUCUUUGUGUCUGUCUCUCUGUCCCCCUGCUCUCUCUCCCUCUCUCUCUCUGCUCUCUCUUUCCCACUGCUAUCUCUGCUUCUCCCUCUCUCUCUCUCUCUCUCUCCCCACCCCCGUCUGGGGCAGCCACUUUCUCUUUUAGAUAAUAAAAUCUCUUGCGUGGGCCCGUGUCUCCUGAGUCAUUCUGGGUAAGGAGGGUCGCGGCGAGAUACCCUUACAUUGGUGCCGUGACUUCGGAUGAGGUUCUCCCAUUGACUUUGCCCUUCCUCCGGGAACCUGAGCUGCUUUGGGAACCCUCACUGCCCGAUCCUCCUCCACGGGCUCACUGUCCAUUUUCCCGGUCGCUCGGCUUCUCGCCCAACACCGGCCUUCGAUUUGGAUUGCCAACCCCUCUCCAAAGACGAUGAUCCUUACUGAACCUGGAAAAUGCCAUCGCCACUGCAGACCAAGGGCUCAUCUGAGGACUGCCCCCCAUCAAUACAAAAAUGAACUUAAUCUCCCCUAAUCAGCAGGAAGCAGUUACUGAAGACUAACCUUCACCCCUUCCCAAAUCCUCUACCACUUAUAAAACAGAAAAGGGAGGAAUAUAGUAAUUUAUCCUCCAUUUGCCCCAUGGUCCCAAGCACAUAAGCCGGUGAGAAUUAUGCCUGGGCUUGCCUGGGCUUGCCUGGGCUUACCCCGCCUUAUCUCUAAACAUCCCCACCCUCCCCUAAAGCAGCAGGCUGAGUGGAUCCACAAUAAAAGGCACCACGCUGCUGCCCGCUCACUCUCUCUCUCUUUGUGUCUGUCUCUCUGUCCCCCUGCUCUCUCUCCCUCUCUGCUCUCUGUUCUCUCUGUCCCGCUGCUCUCUCUGCUUCUCCCUCCCUCUCUCUCUCUCUCUCUCCCCACCCCCGUCUGGGGCAGCCACUUUCUCUUUUAGAUAAUAAAAUCUCUUGCGUGGG
This is a long non-coding RNA of Manis pentadactyla (Chinese pangolin), 1060 nucleotides long. RefSeq lists it as uncharacterized. NCBI's taxonomy places the organism in Eukaryota, Metazoa, Chordata, Mammalia, Pholidota, Manidae. The record is from RefSeq and is a predicted model, not a curated record. The transcript is spliced from 2 exons.